RNAcentral lists this ribosomal RNA (253 nucleotides) under uncultured bacterium. RNAcentral describes it as "partial 16S ribosomal RNA". It matches the Rfam family "Bacterial small subunit ribosomal RNA", at positions 524 to 776 of the family's 1533-position model. The record is from RNAcentral.
UACGUAGGUGGCGAGCGUUGUCCGGAUUUACUGGGCGUAAAGAGCGCGCAGGCGGUCGUUCAAGUCGCGUGUGAAAGCCCCCGGCUCAACUGGGGAGGGUCACGCGAUACUGAUCGACUCGAAGGCAGGAGAGGGAAGUGGAAUUCCCAGUGUAGAGGUGAAAUUCGUAGAUAUUGGGAAGAACACCGGUGGCGAAGGCGGCUCACUGGCCCGUAACUGACGCUCAUGCACGACAGCGUGGGGAUCAAACAGG